GCCUUGCUAGCUCAAUCGGUAGAGCGUGAGACUUUUAUGAUUAGUCUUCAUAUGAAGACAGUAUUGCUACAUAAUAAAUCUCAAGGUUGCGGGUUCGACCCCCGCGUGAGGCU
Sphaerobolus stellatus SS14 is the source of this 113-nucleotide transfer RNA. It matches the Rfam family "tRNA". From Rfam's summary of the family: Transfer RNA (tRNA) molecules are approximately 80 nucleotides in length. Their secondary structure includes four short double-helical elements and three loops (D, anti-codon, and T loops). The record is from Rfam. NCBI's taxonomy places the organism in Eukaryota, Fungi, Basidiomycota, Agaricomycetes, Geastrales, Sphaerobolaceae.